This 508-nucleotide ribosomal RNA is filed under the name uncultured bacterium. RNAcentral's name for it is "partial 16S ribosomal RNA". It matches the Rfam family "Bacterial small subunit ribosomal RNA", at positions 30 to 523 of the family's 1533-position model. The record is from RNAcentral.
AUUGAACGCUGGCGGCAUGCCUUACACAUGCAAGUCGAACGGCAGCGGGGGAGAAGCUUGCUUUUCCUGCCGGCGAGUGGCGAACGGGUGAGUAAUACAUCGGAACGUGCCCUGUAGUGGGGGAUAACUAGUCGAAAGAUUAGCUAAUACCGCAUACGACCUGAGGGUGAAAGUGGGGGACCGCAAGGCCUCAUGCUAUAGGAGCGGCCGAUGUCUGAUUAGCUAGUUGGUGGGGUAAAGGCCUACCAAGGCGACGAUCAGUAGCUGGUCUGAGAGGACGAUCAGCCACACUGGGACGGAGACACGGCCCAGACUCCUACGGGAGGCAGCAGUGGGGAAUUUUGGACAAUGGGCGAAAGCCUGAUCCAGCAAUGCCGCGUGUGUGAAGAAGGCCUUCGGGUUGUAAAGCACUUUUGUCCGGAAAGAAAUGGCUCUGGUUAAUACCUGGGGUCGAUGACGGUACCGGAAGAAUAAGGACCGGCUAACUACGUGCCAGCAGCCGCCGCUG